CACGUAGGGGGCAAGCGUUGUCCGGAUUUAUUGGGCGUAAAGAGCUCGUAGGUGGCUCGGUAAGUCGGGUGUGAAAUUUCGAGGCUCAACCUCGAGACGCCACUUGAUACUGCUGUGGCUAGAGUCCGGUAGGGGAGCGUGGAAUUCCUGGUGUAGCGGUGAAAUGCGCAGAUAUCAGGAGGAACACCAGCGGCGAAGGCGGCGCUCUGGGCCGGUACUGACACUGAGGAGCGAAAGCGUGGGGAUCAAACAGG
Molecule: ribosomal RNA, 254 nt
Filed under: uncultured bacterium
Lineage: Bacteria
Description: partial 16S ribosomal RNA
Rfam family: Bacterial small subunit ribosomal RNA
Source: RNAcentral